This 69-nucleotide transfer RNA is filed under the name Marmota monax (woodchuck). It matches the Rfam family "tRNA". From Rfam's summary of the family: Transfer RNA (tRNA) molecules are approximately 80 nucleotides in length. Lineage: Eukaryota; Metazoa; Chordata; Mammalia; Rodentia; Sciuridae. The record is from Rfam by way of RNAcentral.
GGAGUUGUGGCUCAGUGGUAGAGUGCUUGCCUAGCAUGUGUGAGGCCCUGAGUUGGAUCCUCAGCACCA